This 550-nucleotide ribosomal RNA is filed under the name Penicillium polonicum. RNAcentral describes it as "eukaryotic LSU rRNA". The stretch from base 188 to 340 matches the Rfam family "5.8S ribosomal RNA". The record is from RNAcentral. Lineage: Eukaryota; Fungi; Ascomycota; Eurotiomycetes; Eurotiales; Aspergillaceae.
AAGGAUCAUUACCGAGUGAGGGCCCUUUGGGUCCAACCUCCCACCCGUGUUUAUUUUACCUUGUUGCUUCGGCGGGCCCGCCUUUACUGGCCGCCGGGGGGCUCACGCCCCCGGGCCCGCGCCCGCCGAAGACACCCCCGAACUCUGUCUGAAGAUUGAAGUCUGAGUGAAAAUAUAAAUUAUUUAAAACUUUCAACAACGGAUCUCUUGGUUCCGGCAUCGAUGAAGAACGCAGCGAAAUGCGAUACGUAAUGUGAAUUGCAAAUUCAGUGAAUCAUCGAGUCUUUGAACGCACAUUGCGCCCCCUGGUAUUCCGGGGGGCAUGCCUGUCCGAGCGUCAUUGCUGCCCUCAAGCCCGGCUUGUGUGUUGGGCCCCGUCCUCCGAUUCCGGGGGACGGGCCCGAAAGGCAGCGGCGGCACCGCGUCCGGUCCUCGAGCGUAUGGGGCUUUGUCACCCGCUCUGUAGGCCCGGCCGGCGCUUGCCGAUCAACCCAAAUUUUUAUCCAGGUUGACCUCGGAUCAGGUAGGGAUACCCGCUGAACUUAAGCAU